CGGGCUGAAGACUCUACUUGACUAGCUGAGAGGAGGUGCAUGGCCGUCGUCAGUUCGUACUGUGAAGCAUCCUGUUAAGUCAGGCAACGAGCGAGACCCACGCCAACAGUUGCUAGCUCGUCCUCCGGGGAUGGAGAGGGACACUGUUGGGACCGCCUCUGCUAAAGAGGAGGAAGGAAUGGGCAACGGUAGGUCAGCAUGCCCCGAAUUACCUGGGCUACACGCGGGCUACAAUGGGUGGGACAAUGGGUAUCGACACCGAAAGGUGAAGGCAAUCUCCUAAACCCAUCCGUAGUUCGGAUUGUGGGUUGCAACUCACCCACAUGAAGCUGGAAUCUGUAGUAAUCGUGUCUCAAAAUGGCACGGUGAAUAUGUCCCUGCUCCUU
RNAcentral lists this ribosomal RNA (386 nucleotides) under uncultured Methanomicrobiales archaeon. RNAcentral describes it as "bacterial SSU rRNA". It matches the Rfam family "Archaeal small subunit ribosomal RNA", at positions 955 to 1338 of the family's 1478-position model. Lineage: Archaea; Methanobacteriati; Methanobacteriota; Methanomicrobia; Methanomicrobiales. The record is from RNAcentral.